UGCCUUCUCCACUUCAAAUUCUCGAUCUCCAUUGCAUUUUCUUCAUUUCUCUAUUGAUUCCCAUUUCUCCAUUUCAUUUUCAUUUGCUUUUGUGUUCCUCUUCCCCAGACUGUGUGGGCGAUCUCUCUGGGCGGCAUCUCAUUAUCGCCAUGCUAUCAUCCUAGAUUUGGUCAUUCUUUGAUCGCUUUUGUGUUCUUCUGCCACUGCAUGCACGUUGGUUUUGCCUUUCAGAGUUUCAAUGGUUUAGCCUCUCUU
Molecule: unclassified non-coding RNA, 255 nt
Filed under: Hevea brasiliensis (rubber tree)
Lineage: Eukaryota; Viridiplantae; Streptophyta; Magnoliopsida; Malpighiales; Euphorbiaceae
Source: RNAcentral